UCAGCCUGCCGCGUGAGUGAUGAAGGCCUUAGGGUUGUAAAGCUCUUUUACCCGGGAUGAUAAUGACAGUACCGGGAGAAUAAGCUCCGGCUAACUCCGUGCCAGCAGCCGCGGUAAUACGGAGGGAGCUAGCGUUGUUCGGAAUUACUGGGCGUAAAGCGCACGUAGGCGGCUAUUCAAGUCAGAGGUGAAAGCCCGGGGCUCAACCCCGGAACUGCCUUUGAAACUAGAUAGCUUGAAUCCAGGAGAGGUGAGUGGAAUUCCGAGUGUAGAGGUGAAAUUCGUAUAUAUUCGGAAGAACACCAGUGGCGAAGGCGGCUCACUGGACUGGUAUUGACGCUGAGGUGCGAAAGCGUGGGGAGCAAACAGGAUUAAAUACCCUGGUAGUCCACGCCGUAAACGAUGAUAACUAGCUGUCAG
This 420-nucleotide ribosomal RNA is filed under the name uncultured bacterium. RNAcentral describes it as "bacterial SSU rRNA". It matches the Rfam family "Bacterial small subunit ribosomal RNA", at positions 388 to 826 of the family's 1533-position model. The record is from RNAcentral.